RNAcentral lists this ribosomal RNA (253 nucleotides) under uncultured bacterium. RNAcentral's name for it is "partial 16S ribosomal RNA". It matches the Rfam family "Bacterial small subunit ribosomal RNA", at positions 524 to 776 of the family's 1533-position model. The record is from RNAcentral.
UCCGGUGGGGGCGAGCGUUAAUCGGAAUUACUGGGCGUAAAGCGCGCGUAGGCGGUUCGAUAAGUCAGAUGUGAAAUCCCCGGGCUCAACCUGGGAAUGGCAUUUGAUACUGUCAGACUAGAGUGUGGUAGAGGGAAGUGGAAUUCCGCAUGUAGCGGUGAAAUGCGUAGAUAUGCGGAGGAACACCAGUGGCGAAAGCGGCUUCCUGGACCAACACUGACGCUGAGGUGCGAAAGCGUGGGGAGCAAACAGG